This is a long non-coding RNA of Micropterus salmoides (largemouth bass), 584 nucleotides long. RefSeq lists it as uncharacterized. NCBI's taxonomy places the organism in Eukaryota, Metazoa, Chordata, Actinopteri, Centrarchiformes, Centrarchidae. The transcript has 3 exons. The record is from RefSeq and is a predicted model, not a curated record.
AGGCUGAAUUUACUCCAGUGUGGAGGAAGACCACGGCGACUCUUCCGGAAAAUUAGCACCAGCUGAGUGCCGUACACGCUGUUCCACAUGAAGGUGGCUAACAGGAAGAACUGCAGCAGAGCCACCACCGCCGAGCACGAGCCUUGGUCCGGCUCCACGUGCUCAUCAGACCCUGGGAUAACGUUGGUCUGACUGUUGACCUGCACCUGAGCGUUGUUCUGUGUGCUUGAGUUUCCAACGCCAGAGAGGAAGGUGAUGAUGAAGGCCAGCAGGCUGAGAGAGCAGCGAAGUUGGUGGUGUGGUUGCAGAAACAUCUCAGGACUCCGUCUGAAGCGUUCCCUUUAGAGCAGCCGUCAGUGCUCCAGUCCUGCAGACUGUAGUCCCAGAAGACACAGGCGAAGUCGUACAGAGACGUCCCAUUCAUCAUCUGAGACAGCAGCAGAUACAACAUCUCAUCUCCACGUGUUGCGGCACCACGCUGCGCUCCUGACCUCUAACGCUGGCCGACAGGACCCUGAUGGUGGCCCGUCCCCUUCUAUACCGCCUCGACCUGAAGAAACGGUCGUUCUGGUAGAGGACGAAAC